GUCAGUCGGCAGAUCUAGUCAUCGUCACAUUUAUGCAAGCGUCAAGUGAAACAAUAAGCCGCCCGAGCGGUAGUCGAGCGGUUCGGUAAUGCGAGCUAAUUUAUUCGAUUAGCCAGUCGCAUCCACAAAACACAGACAGAGAGACAGACAGACAGGCACAGGGCAAAUGGUCACGAAUCUUGUUUAUCUAUCGAGUGCAUUCAUGCAACGCCCAAAGCAAGCCACAUGCCACUUGCCCGUGAAGCAACCCGCUGCCUGCACACUGAAUAUGCACACUCUGGAAGGUGGACCGGAUUUGGCAUAGAACCGGAAUGAGUGCAACAGACACUGGCGGCGGCAUUAUACAAUAGCUAAAUAAAAAACGAGCACAUACUUGGAGUGUUCGAUUCCGAUUUGUUUGAAACGAAUCGAACCAAGAAGCUUCCACGCCGUCCUUGGCAUUCAAUUGUUGAUCUUGAUUGAAUCCCAGGAAUCCCAAGGAAGCCCAUUGAGGAGAGACACUGUCUAUAGAUUGCUUUGAAGACAUUUCUAGCUUUUCUUACUAACAAAAUCUGUUGAUAUUAGACGUAACUUUUUGCAUACUAUACGCUCACAUUCAGCCCUUUUUAUUUGUAUCUGGUCGUAGGUAGUAUUGUCACACUUCUGGCUGGCUCCAUUGGCAUGCACUUGGUACCUUAACCCUGCCAGUAAAUGGAAAGCGAUUCAUCAUGCUGCCUCAUCAUCAUCAUCAAGCCACAAGAUAAGCGAACAAAUGUGAAAUCUUAUCGCUGGCUUCCGAAUAUCAACUCCGAAUGAGCUCUAAAGCUACAGUGAGCUAAAGUAAGUGCCAAUUAGACGCAUUUUUGUUACAGUUUCUGGCCGUAAUGACUGGCCGGAGAGUGUUUAUUAUUCUUUUAAUGCACUUGCACUUAAGUGUGCACUUACGUGUGUAUCUACACUCGUCAUUUUGGUGGACAAU
RNAcentral lists this long non-coding RNA (958 nucleotides) under Drosophila guanche. Lineage: Eukaryota; Metazoa; Arthropoda; Insecta; Diptera; Drosophilidae. The record is from RNAcentral.